GGCAGCAAUCUAUGAAGAUUAUCUGACCUUAUUCAUUUCCCAAAAGAUUGGGUCUGCCCAGGUAAGGAAGAACAGAAAAUCAAUAAGAGUUCCAGAGUUGUGGCCUCUAUAGAGGGCAGUGUCAGGGCUAGGAAGUAAGGGAUUCAGACAAGUUGCUCAAAAAGCCUUAUCAGUCCUUUUUCUAGAUUGUAAUUACUUUAGAAGACAUAAAUCUCAGUAUAAUACCAUCUGAAAAAACCUGGGAAUGAACAAGGUAAGAUGGCAUUAUAAAUUUAUCCAUUACAGCCCCUCUUUGUAUGCUUCUGUGUAUAUCUCCACUCAUUUCCAUUUUGUUAUCUCUUAGCAUUUAGGUAUUAUUAUUAUAAUUUUGGUACCCAGGAGUGCUUUGUCACUGAGCUACAUUUCCAGCCCUUUUUACAUUUUUUUUUUUUUUUUAAGACAGGGUCUUUCCAAGUUGCUGAGGCUGGCCUCAAGCUUGCAGUCUUCCUUCCUCAACCUCCCAAGUUGCUGGGACACACCACCAUGUUCAACUCCAGCUUCUUGUUUUAACCUUAUCUAACCUGCAUCCAAUUCCAUUUUGGACUAUUCUGAAACCAAAUGAAAGAUAUUUUGGUCUAUAUUUAAUCAUUCUUUUUUUAAUAUUUAUUUUUUAGGUUUUUUUUAGGUGGACACAAUAUCUUUAUUUUGCAUUUAUGUAGUGCUGAGACUCGAACCCAGUACCUCACGCAUGCUAGGAGAGCGUGCUAACACUUGAGCCACAUCUCCAGCUCUAUAUUUAAUCAUUCGUAAGCAGGGAAAUAUAGCACUUUGUAAGUAUCAUAUGAAAUUCAAUCCAUUCAGGCAUGGUAGUACACACCUGCAAUCCCAGUAACUAGGAAGGCUGAGGCAAGGAGGAUCACAAAUUUGAGGCCAGUCUCAGCAAUUUAGCUAGGCCCUAAGAAACUCAGUGAGACCCUGUCUUAAAAUAAAAAAUAAAAAGGACUGGGGAUGUGUCUUAAUGAUUAAACACUCCUGGGUUUAAUCCCUAAUACCAAAAAAAAAAAAAAAAAAAAAAAAAAAGAAAAG
This 1065-nucleotide long non-coding RNA is filed under the name Marmota monax (woodchuck). The record is from RNAcentral. Lineage: Eukaryota; Metazoa; Chordata; Mammalia; Rodentia; Sciuridae.